UACGUAGGCAGCGAGCGUUGUUCGGAGUUAUUGGGCGUAAAGCGCACGUAGGCGGUUCGUUAAGUCGGAUGUGAAAGCCCUCGGCUCAACUGAGGAAGUGCACCCGAAACUGGCGAGCUUGAGUACGAAAGAGGAUCGCGGAAUUCCCGGUGUAGAGGUGGAAUUCGUAGAUAUCGGGAGGAACACCGGUGGCGAAGGCGGCGAUCUGGGUCGAUACUGACGCUGAGGUGCGAAAGCGUGGGGAGCAAACAGG
Molecule: ribosomal RNA, 253 nt
Filed under: uncultured bacterium
Lineage: Bacteria
Description: partial 16S ribosomal RNA
Rfam family: Bacterial small subunit ribosomal RNA
Source: RNAcentral